Long non-coding RNA from Pipra filicauda (Wire-tailed manakin), 425 nucleotides. RefSeq lists it as uncharacterized. The record is from RefSeq and is a predicted model, not a curated record. The transcript has 5 exons. NCBI's taxonomy places the organism in Eukaryota, Metazoa, Chordata, Aves, Passeriformes, Pipridae.
CUUGCCGACCCUGGGAGGCAGAGGUUGUUGCCGGUCGUUCCAGCGCGACUUCUGUUGUUCCAAGGAGAGUAAAGAACCAUAGGAGGGACUGCUAUGACAUUGUCUGAUCCUGUGAGGAAAUGUGGCCCUUCAGUGUUAAAAGGAAGAUACUACCUUUAACUACCCAUGUCUGUUAGCCACUAUCAUAAGUAAGGUUCCAAAUAUUCAUCUCCUUCUAGAGCAGCCACACUAAGGCACUUCAGCAGAUGAAGAAAAUGGAUUGCAGUGAACAGCAAGAAAUAUCAGAUCUAUCCCAAGACCUGGGCAUCUGACUGUGACAGAAACAAAUACUGUAGAAGAAUGUAAUUGAUCAAAACUCAAAUCUCACCUAAAAACAUGUCAACUGCUUCUGAACUGAUUAAAGCUGAUUUGUAGUAUUUUCUCAA